Molecule: ribosomal RNA, 631 nt
Filed under: Escherichia coli
Lineage: Bacteria; Pseudomonadati; Pseudomonadota; Gammaproteobacteria; Enterobacterales; Enterobacteriaceae
Description: partial 23S ribosomal RNA
Rfam family: Bacterial large subunit ribosomal RNA
Source: RNAcentral
UAGCAAGGUUAACCGAAUAGGGGAGCCGAAGGGAAACCGAGUCUUAACUGGGCGUUAAGUUGCAGGGUAUAGACCCGAAACCCGGUGAUCUAGCCAUGGGCAGGUUGAAGGUUGGGUAACACUAACUGGAGGACCGAACCGACUAAUGUUGAAAAAUUAGCGGAUGACUUGUGGCUGGGGGUGAAAGGCCAAUCAAACCGGGAGAUAGCUGGUUCUCCCCGAAAGCUAUUUAGGUAGCGCCUCGUGAAUUCAUCUCCGGGGGUAGAGCACUGUUUCGGCAAGGGGGUCAUCCCGACUUACCAACCCGAUGCAAACUGCGAAUACCGGAGAAUGUUAUCACGGGAGACACACGGCGGGUGCUAACGUCCGUCGUGAAGAGGGAAACAACCCAGACCGCCAGCUAAGGUCCCAAAGUCAUGGUUAAGUGGGAAACGAUGUGGGAAGGCCCAGACAGCCAGGAUGUUGGCUUAGAAGCAGCCAUCAUUUAAAGAAAGCGUAAUAGCUCACUGGUCGAGUCGGCCUGCGCGGAAGAUGUAACGGGGCUAAACCAUGCACCGAAGCUGCGGCAGCGACGCUUAUGCGUUGUUGGGUAGGGGAGCGUUCUGUAAGCCUGCGAAGGUGUGCUGUGAGG